CGCCUGUUUUAUCAAAAACAUCGCCUCUUGACAAACUAUAAGAGGUCCAGCCUGCCCAGUGAUAUUAUUCAACGGCCGCGGUAUCCUAACCGCGCGAAGGUAGCAUAAUCACUUGUUCUUUAAAUAGGGACUAGUAUCAAUGGCACCACGAGGGUUGCACUGUCUCCUCUCUCCAAUCAGUGAAACUGAUCUCCCCGUGAAGAAGCGGGGAUAAACCAAUAAGACGAGAAGACCCCAUGGAGCUUAAAAUCUAAUAGCAACUUUGCCACAUAAUCCACCAUAUUUUACAGAGCCAUGCUAGCAAAUUUUAGGUUGGGGCGACCGCGGAGUAAAAAUCACCCUCCAUGACGAAAAGAACUAAACCUUUAUCUAAGAACCACUAUUCUAAGAAUUAGCAUACUAACGACCAUGACCCGAUAAUCGAUCAACGGACCAAGUUACCCUGGGGAUAACAGCGCAAUCUACUUUGAGAGUCCAUAUCGACAAGUAGGCUUACGACCUCGAUGUUGGAUCAAGGUAUCCUAGUGGUGCAGCCGCUACUAAUGGUUCGUUUGUUCAACGAUUAAAACCUUACGUGAUCUGAGUUCAGACCGGACGUCGUGAUCUGAGUUCAGACCG
This 618-nucleotide ribosomal RNA is filed under the name Rhacophorus nigropalmatus. RNAcentral describes it as "partial large subunit ribosomal RNA". It matches the Rfam family "Bacterial large subunit ribosomal RNA", at positions 1797 to 2633 of the family's 2925-position model. Lineage: Eukaryota; Metazoa; Chordata; Amphibia; Anura; Rhacophoridae. The record is from RNAcentral.